RNAcentral lists this ribosomal RNA (253 nucleotides) under uncultured bacterium. RNAcentral describes it as "partial 16S ribosomal RNA". It matches the Rfam family "Bacterial small subunit ribosomal RNA", at positions 524 to 776 of the family's 1533-position model. The record is from RNAcentral.
UACAGAGGGUGCGAGCGUCAAUCGGAAUUACUGGGCGUAAAGGGCGCGUAGGUGGUGAGUUAAGACUGUUGUGAAAUCCCUGGGCUUAACCUAGGAACUGCAACGAUGACUGAUUCGCUUGAGUAUUGUAGAGGGUAGUGGAAUUUCCGGUGUAGCGGUGAAAUGCGUAGAGAUCGGAAGGAACACCAGUGGCGAAGGCGGCUACCUGGACAAAUACUGACACUGAGGCGCGAGAGCGUGGGGAGCAAACAGG